AACGAACGCUGGCGGCAUGCCUAACACAUGCAAGUCGAACGAGACCUUCGGGUCUAGUGGCGCACGGGUGCGUAACGCGUGGGAACCUGCCCUUAGGUUCGGAAUAACUCCCCGAAAGGUGUGCUAAUACCGGAUAAUCUCUUCGGACCAAAGAUUUAUCGCCUUUGGAUGGGCCCGCGUUGGAUUAGCUAGUUGGUAGGGUAAAAGCCUACCAAGGCGACGAUCCAUAGCUGGUCUGAGAGGUUGAUCAGCCACACUGGGACUGAGACACGGCCCAGACUCCUACGGGAGGCAGCAGUGGGGAAUAUUGGACAAUGGGCGAAAGCGUGAUCCAGCAAUGCCGCGUGAGUGAUGAAGGCCUUAGGGUUGUAAAGCUCUUUUACCCGGGAUGAUAAUGACAGUACCGGGAGAAUAAGCUCCGGCUAACUACGUG
Molecule: ribosomal RNA, 433 nt
Filed under: uncultured bacterium
Lineage: Bacteria
Description: partial 16S ribosomal RNA
Rfam family: Bacterial small subunit ribosomal RNA
Source: RNAcentral